ACGAACGCCGGCGGCGUGCUUAACCCAUGCCAGUCGAACGGAAAGGCCCUGCUUUUGUGGGGUGCUCGAGUGGCGAACGGGUGAGUAACACGUGAGUAACCUGCCCUUGACUUUGGGAUAACUUCAGGAAACUGGGGCUAAUACCGGAUAGGAGCUCCUGCUGCAUGGUGGGGGUUGGAAAGUUUCGGCGGUUGGGGAUGGACUCGCGGCUUAUCAGCUUGUUGGUGGGGUAGUGGCUUACCAAGGCUUUGACGGGUAGCCGGCCUGAGAGGGUGACCGGCCACAUUGGGACUGAGAUACGGCCCAGACUCCUACGGGAGGCAGCAGUGGGGAAUAUUGCACAAUGGGCGGAAGCCUGAUGCAGCAACGCCGCGUGCGGGAUGACGGCCUUCGGGUUGUAAACCGCUUUCGCCUGUGACGAAGCGUGAGUGACGGUAAUGGGUAAAGAAGCACCGGCUAACUACGUG
Molecule: ribosomal RNA, 467 nt
Filed under: uncultured bacterium
Lineage: Bacteria
Description: partial 16S ribosomal RNA
Rfam family: Bacterial small subunit ribosomal RNA
Source: RNAcentral